GACGAACGCUGGCGGCGUGCCUAAUACAUGCAAGUCGAGCGAGUCUGCCUUGAAGAUCGGAGUGCUUGCACUCUGUGAAACAAGAUACAGGCUAGCGGCGGACGGGUGAGUAACACGUGGGUAACCUGCCCAAGAGAUCGGGAUAGCACCUGGAAACAGAUGCUAAUACCGGAUAACAACAGAUGAUGCCUAUCAACUGUUUAAAAGAUGGUUCUGCUAUCACUCUUGGAUGGACCUGCGGUGCAUUAGCUAGUUGGUCGGGUAACGGCCUACCAAGGCGAUGAUGCAUAGCCGAGUUGAGAGAAUGAUCGGCCACAUUGGGACUGAGACACGGCCCAAACUCCUACGGGAGGCAGCAGUAGGGAAUCUUCCACAAUGGACGCAAGUCUGAUGGAGCAACGCCGCGUGAGUGAAGAAGGGUUUCGGCUCGUAAAGCUCUGUUGUUGGUGAAGAAGGACAGGGGUAGUAACUGACCUUUGUUUGACGGUAAUCAAUUAGAAAGUCACGGCUAACUACGUG
RNAcentral lists this ribosomal RNA (519 nucleotides) under uncultured bacterium. RNAcentral's name for it is "partial 16S ribosomal RNA". It matches the Rfam family "Bacterial small subunit ribosomal RNA", at positions 28 to 507 of the family's 1533-position model. The record is from RNAcentral.